GCGUCGGUGUUUCAGUGGUAGAAUACUCGACUUCCACGCGGGUGACCCGGGUUCGAUUCCCGGCCGACGCA
This 71-nucleotide transfer RNA is filed under the name Rhipicephalus microplus (southern cattle tick). RNAcentral's name for it is "tRNA-Gly". It matches the Rfam family "tRNA". From Rfam's summary of the family: Transfer RNA (tRNA) molecules are approximately 80 nucleotides in length. Their secondary structure includes four short double-helical elements and three loops (D, anti-codon, and T loops). Lineage: Eukaryota; Metazoa; Arthropoda; Arachnida; Ixodida; Ixodidae. The record is from Rfam by way of RNAcentral.